GACGAACGCUGGCAGCGUGCUUAACACAUGCAAGUCGAACGCUGAAGCUUGGUGCUUGCACUGGGUGGAUGAGUGGCGAACGGGUGAGUAAUACGUGAGUAACCUGCCCUUGACUCUGGGAUAAGCCUGGGAAACUGGGUCUAAUACUGGAUAUGACAUGCCACUGCAUGGUGGUGUGUGGAAAGGGUUUUACUGGUUUUGGAUGGGCUCACGGCCUAUCAGCUUGUUGGUGGGGUAAUGGCCUACCAAGGCGACGACGGGUAGCCGGCCUGAGAGGGUGACCGGCCACACUGGGACUGAGACACGGCCCAGACUCCUACGGGAGGCAGCAGUGGGGAAUAUUGCACAAUGGGCGGAAGCCUGAUGCAGCGACGCCGCGUGAGGGAUGACGGCCUUCGGGUUGUAAACCUCUUUCAGCACGGAAGAAGCGAGAGUGACGGUACGUGCAGAAGAAGCGCCGGCUAACUACGUG
RNAcentral lists this ribosomal RNA (472 nucleotides) under uncultured bacterium. RNAcentral's name for it is "partial 16S ribosomal RNA". It matches the Rfam family "Bacterial small subunit ribosomal RNA", at positions 28 to 507 of the family's 1533-position model. The record is from RNAcentral.